This 378-nucleotide long non-coding RNA is filed under the name Phoenix dactylifera (date palm). RNAcentral describes it as "long non-coding RNA (PDAC_LNC022478)". Lineage: Eukaryota; Viridiplantae; Streptophyta; Magnoliopsida; Arecales; Arecaceae. The record is from RNAcentral.
GAUUUUACAUUAAUUUAGUGAUAAUAAAAAACAGUUGUAUAAACAUCAUACUUAAAAUCACAGAAAUUAAAUAUGGGAUGAAAUAAAAUAUUCAUUAAGAACAGAAUAAAGUUUAUACAACUCCAAGAAUAUAAAUCAAAAAUAUAAAACCCGUGUCCCUUUGUUAGGGCUGCAUCCGACCCUAGAGAGGAGAUCAGCCUUCCAUGAAGAGUUGAAUAGCUGCACUACAGGGGAACUUCAUGAUGAUUGGCUCCUUCCUCCUUCCCUCCGUCGGCUCUCUCUUAGCACAUCAUCACCUCUUCGUUUGGAAAGUCAUUCCUAAAGUACUCAAGAAACUCUUCUCCCUCCUUUGUUUCCCGUGGGAUUUUCAGCUUGUGA